Molecule: ribosomal RNA, 2900 nt
Filed under: Klebsiella pneumoniae
Lineage: Bacteria; Pseudomonadati; Pseudomonadota; Gammaproteobacteria; Enterobacterales; Enterobacteriaceae
Description: 23S ribosomal RNA
Rfam family: Bacterial large subunit ribosomal RNA
Source: RNAcentral
UUAAGCGACUAAGCGUACACGGUGGAUGCCCUGGCAGUCAGAGGCGAUGAAGGACGUGCUAAUCUGCGAAAAGCGUCGGUAAGGUGAUAUGAACCGUUACAGCCGGCGAUGUCCGAAUGGGGAAACCCAGUGUGAUUCGUCACACUAUCGUUAACUGAAUACAUAGGUUAACGAGGCGAACCGGGGGAACUGAAACAUCUAAGUACCCCGAGGAAAAGAAAUCAACCGAGAUUCCCCCAGUAGCGGCGAGCGAACGGGGAGCAGCCCAGAGUCUGAAUCAGCUUGUGUGUUAGUGGAACGGUCUGGAAAGUCCGACGGUACAGGGUGAUAGUCCCGUACACCAAAAUGCACAGGNUGUGAACUCGAAGAGUAGGGCGGGACACGUGGUAUCCUGUCUGAAUAUGGGGGGACCAUCCUCCAAGGCUAAAUACUCCUGACUGACCGAUAGUGAACCAGUACCGUGAGGGAAAGGCGAAAAGAACCCCGGCGAGGGGAGUGAAAAAGAACCUGAAACCGUGUACGUACAAGCAGUGGGAGCACCUUCGGGUGUGACUGCGUACCUUUUGUAUAAUGGGUCAGCGACUUAUAUUCUGUAGCAAGGUUAACCGUAUAGGGGAGCCGCAGGGAAACCGAGUCUUAACUGGGCGUUAAGUUGCAGGGUAUAGACCCGAAACCCGGUGAUCUAGCCAUGGGCAGGUUGAAGGUUGGGUAACACUAACUGGAGGACCGAACCGACUAAUGUUGAAAAAUUAGCGGAUGACUUGUGGCUGGGGGUGAAAGGCCAAUCAAACCGGGAGAUAGCUGGUUCUCCCCGAAAGCUAUUUAGGUAGCGCCUCGUGAAUUCAUCUUCGGGGGUAGAGCACUGUUUCGGCUAGGGGGUCAUCCCGACUUACCAACCCGAUGCAAACUACGAAUACCGAAGAAUGUUAUCACGGGAGACACACGGCGGGUGCUAACGUCCGUCGUGAAGAGGGAAACAACCCAGACCGCCAGCUAAGGUCCCAAAGUCAUGGUUAAGUGGGAAACGAUGUGGGAAGGCACAGACAGCCAGGAUGUUGGCUUAGAAGCAGCCAUCAUUUAAAGAAAGCGUAAUAGCUCACUGGUCGAGUCGGCCUGCGCGGAAGAUGUAACGGGGCUAAACCAUGCACCGAAGCUGCGGCAGCGACACUAUGUGUUGUUGGGUAGGGGAGCGUUCUGUAAGCCUGCGAAGGUGACCUGUGAGGGUUGCUGGAGGUAUCAGAAGUGCGAAUGCUGACAUAAGUAACGAUAAAGCGGGUGAAAAGCCCGCUCGCCGGAAGACCAAGGGUUCCUGUCCAACGUUAAUCGGGGCAGGGUGAGUCGACCCCUAAGGCGAGGCCGAAAGGCGUAGUCGAUGGGAAACAGGUUAAUAUUCCUGUACUUGGUGUUACUGCGAAGGGGGGACGGAGAAGGCUAUGUUAGCCGGGCGACGGUUGUCCCGGUUUAAGCAUGUAGGCUGGUUGUCCAGGCAAAUCCGGAUAAUCAAGGCUGAGGUGUGAUGACGAGGCACUACGGUGCUGAAGUAACAAAUGCCCUGCUUCCAGGAAAAGCCUCUAAGCAUCAGGUAACAUCAAAUCGUACCCCAAACCGACACAGGUGGUCAGGUAGAGAAUACCAAGGCGCUUGAGAGAACUCGGGUGAAGGAACUAGGCAAAAUGGUGCCGUAACUUCGGGAGAAGGCACGCUGGUGUGUAGGUGAAGUCCCUGCGGAUGGAGCUGAGACCAGUCGAAGAUACCAGCUGGCUGCAACUGUUUAUUAAAAACACAGCACUGUGCAAACACGAAAGUGGACGUAUACGGUGUGACGCCUGCCCGGUGCCGGAAGGUUAAUUGAUGGGGUUAUCCGUAAGGAGAAGCUCUUGAUCGAAGCCCCGGUAAACGGCGGCCGUAACUAUAACGGUCCUAAGGUAGCGAAAUUCCUUGUCGGGUAAGUUCCGACCUGCACGAAUGGCGUAAUGAUGGCCAGGCUGUCUCCACCCGAGACUCAGUGAAAUUGAACUCGCUGUGAAGAUGCAGUGUACCCGCGGCAAGACGGAAAGACCCCGUGAACCUUUACUAUAGCUUGACACUGAACAUUGAGCCUUGAUGUGUAGGAUAGGUGGGAGGCUUUGAAGCGUGGACGCCAGUCUGCGUGGAGCCAACCUUGAAAUACCACCCUUUAAUGUUUGAUGUUCUAACGUUGGCCCCUNACCGGGGUUGCGGACAGUGUCUGGUGGGUAGUUUGACUGGGGCGGUCUCCUCCCAAAGCGUAACGGAGGAGCACGAAGGUUAGCUAAUCCUGGUCGGACAUCAGGAGGUUAGUGCAAUGGCAUAAGCUAGCUUGACUGCGAGCGUGACGGCGCGAGCAGGUGCGAAAGCAGGUCAUAGUGAUCCGGUGGUUCUGAAUGGAAGGGCCAUCGCUCAACGGAUAAAAGGUACUCCGGGGAUAACAGGCUGAUACCGCCCAAGAGUUCAUAUCGACGGCGGUGUUUGGCACCUCGAUGUCGGCUCAUCACAUCCUGGGGCUGAAGUAGGUCCCAAGGGUAUGGCUGUUCGCCAUUUAAAGUGGUACGCGAGCUGGGUUUAGAACGUCGUGAGACAGUUCGGUCCCUAUCUGCCGUGGGCGCUGGAGAAUUGAGGGGGGCUGCUCCUAGUACGAGAGGACCGGAGUGGACGCAUCACUGGUGUUCGGGUUGUCAUGCCAAUGGCACUGCCCGGUAGCUAAAUGCGGAAGAGAUAAGUGCUGAAAGCAUCUAAGCACGAAACUUGCCCCGAGAUGAGUUCUCCCUGAGACUUUAAGUCUCCUGAAGGAACGUUGAAGACGACGACGUUGAUAGGCCGGGUGUGUAAGCGCAGCGAUGCGUUGAGCUAACCGGUACUAAUGAACCGUGAGGCUUAACCUU